This 181-nucleotide ribosomal RNA is filed under the name Nemania bipapillata. RNAcentral's name for it is "5.8S ribosomal RNA". The stretch from base 2 to 155 matches the Rfam family "5.8S ribosomal RNA". From Rfam's summary of the family: 5.8S ribosomal RNA (5.8S rRNA) is a component of the large subunit of the eukaryotic ribosome. It is transcribed by RNA polymerase I as part of the 45S precursor that also contains 18S and 28S rRNA. Functionally, it is thought that 5.8S rRNA may be involved in ribosome translocation. The record is from RNAcentral. Lineage: Eukaryota; Fungi; Ascomycota; Sordariomycetes; Xylariales; Xylariaceae.
AAACUUUCAACAACGGAUCUCUUGGUUCUGGCAUCGAUGAAGAACGCAGCGAAAUGCGAUAAGUAAUGUGAAUUGCAGAAUUCAGUGAAUCAUCGAAUCUUUGAACGCACAUUGCGCCCAUUAGUAUUCUAGUGGGCAUGCCUGUUCGAGCGUCAUUUCAACCCUUAAGCCCCUGUUGCUU